GAUGAACGCUGGCGGCGUGCCUAAUACAUGCAAGUCGAGCGAACGGACGAGAAGCUUGCUUCUCUGAUGUUAGCGGCGGACGGGUGAGUAACACGUGGAUAACCUACCUAUAAGGCUGGGAUAACUUCGGGAAACCGGAGCUAAUACCGGAUAAUAUUUUGAAUCGCAUGGUUCAAAAGUGAAAGACGGUCUUGCUGUCACUUAUAGAUGGAUCCGCGCUGCAUUAGCUAGUUGGUAAGGUAACGGCUUACCAAGGCAACGAUGCAUAGCCGACCUGAGAGGGUGAUCGGCCACACUGGAACUGAGACACGGUCCAGACUCCUACGGGAGGCAGCAGUAGGGAAUCUUCCGCAAUGGGCGAAAGCCUGACGGAGCAACGCCGCGUGAGUGAUGAAGGUCUUCGGAUCGUAAAACUCUGUUAUUAGGGAAGAACAUAUGUGUAAGUAACUGUGCACAUCUUGACGGUACCUAAUCAGAAAGCCACGGCUAACUACGUG
This 497-nucleotide ribosomal RNA is filed under the name uncultured bacterium. RNAcentral's name for it is "partial 16S ribosomal RNA". It matches the Rfam family "Bacterial small subunit ribosomal RNA", at positions 28 to 507 of the family's 1533-position model. The record is from RNAcentral.